Molecule: non-coding RNA, 82 nt
Organism: Macrolepiota fuliginosa MF-IS2
Lineage: Eukaryota; Fungi; Basidiomycota; Agaricomycetes; Agaricales; Agaricaceae
Source: the annotation of a GenBank genome assembly
GGUGCUAUAGUGUAGUGGUUAUCACUCGGGAUUUUGAGAUCAAAUUCUUCCCGAAACCCAGGUUCGAACCCUGGUAGCACCU